GCAGUGAAAAUUUGGGUCGGAGAAAUUGUUGGCAGCAACAGUGUUGACGAGAGCAAGUAGAAGAAAGGUUUUCUGAUGUUUGAAAUUAUUGAGUUAUUACAUGAUUGGUAGAGGUUCAAACAGCAGCAGUGUGAGGGUGAGGGUGAGGAUGAGGGGUGAGGGAUGGUCCUGCUGAUGCAAGUGCAAAUUGUAAACCUCUAUGCUGUCCAUGUUGUAGUACAAACGCCACUUGUGUUGCAGCCAGUGCUGCUGCCUCCUGUCUUUGUCUUCGACGUUGCAGGAUACUAAUGGCCCAGGCCAUGAUGUAGCAAGGUAACAGAAAACCAGCAGCACGAAGCAAGAAAAUAGAGAAAAAGGCAGAUGCGUCAUCAUCACCGUCAGGAUCUGUUAUGGUCAAUGCAUGCCGCAGAAGGAGAAGGGCUAGUAGAAUAAGAGCAGCUGAUCGACAAAAUGCAGCUCCACUGUCAUUUGAAGCAGCAUAAUCAUCAU
RNAcentral lists this unclassified non-coding RNA (489 nucleotides) under Hevea brasiliensis (rubber tree). The record is from RNAcentral. Lineage: Eukaryota; Viridiplantae; Streptophyta; Magnoliopsida; Malpighiales; Euphorbiaceae.